AGAACAUGCUUGUCUCACAUCGAGAGCUUCUUGUUCUGAAUGUUGUGAUGAAACAGGCUUUCAAGUGUCCCCGGACUUGGCACAGCCACUCAAUUGACAAACCCUGUCACCAGUGGCCGGAAUUCAGUGAAACUGGCUGGAAAUGCUGUGGACAUAAGAGAUGAGACUGAGGCUUGAGUUGUCAGGGCGUCUUCACCAGACUGCCUUACAGUAGGCGCUUCACAUAUACACCCCAUCCCCAGGGAUGCCAGCGCCUGCAGGCACUCAUGUCCCUUGUAACCCGCCUCAGGUUUGCAGAGCUUCUGCACCUCCUCCCUGUGUUGGGUCGGCCACAGCCCCCAGGACAUGAGUGCCGUGCAGGCAGCCGAACACAUGUUCAGGGAGAGGGGAGCGUGUCCUUGUCCGUGCUCCAUGCAGGGGCAGUGUUUCUCCAGAACUUUCCAGCCCACUGCGACAGGAGGCCAGCUCAGAUGCUCAGUUCUCAGAAUGAUGCCAGUAGAGGAAUCAGGCCUUUCUGAAGAUCUUUGGCAACUAGCCAUCUAUACAGGUAAUUGCCUGCACUAUUACUCAUUUGGGGAACAGCAAAUUUAUAAAAUGUUUAACAUAAUCCAAAUAAUUUUAAGAAAAAGCCUUUGGCCAAAUGCAAGUUUCCUGAUGUAGACUUUGCACCAAUCCUAGGACCUGAGCUUACAGACUCCAGUGUGACCCCCAAGGAGUGGAGAGGGCUGCAGCUCCAGGGAGGGAGGGAGGGGCAGCACAGGUGGGGGAGCCCGCCUCUGGAUGGGACAAACCGACAGGCUGUCCUUUUUCCCUAUAGACCACUUGUUGGAAGAUAGCCUGAAGGGAGACCUGAAUUUUGAGGUGUAUGUGCGCAAAGGGCCAUAUCUAUACUAAUAUAUCAAAACACUGAAACAAAUGCAGUGUCUACACAGGAGGAAGCAAGAUGUCCGCUCACAGCAGCCGGGAAGCUAAGGAAGAGCAGGGACCAGGUCCUCAAGGGCAUGCCUCCAGUGCCUGCUCCCUCUACCCAGUCCCUACCUGGCUGCAGCCACCACCUAGUACAGGAGCCCUUCAGAUGGGUGAACCCACCCAUCACAACAUUUAAUUUCCUGCCCUGCCAGGAGCUUUUGGGUGAUAGCUCAUAUCCAAACCAUAACAGAUGGGGUCUAUAGUCCCUCCUCCUGGCCUCUGGACUUCUUGUCAGUAGUGAAAGGAGGAAGUCGUAUGGGGCCAGUUCCUCCAGCCUCCAUGCUGAGAGGAAGCCAGACUGCACAUCGGGGAGACUUUGGAGAAAUCAACAGCCAGCUUGUCUGCUGGCCAGUCACCUGGCUGACCCUCCAGCCUCAGGAAUGCCGCCGCACAAGCGCACAUGCAUAUUUAUUGUUUAUGCAAAAAGAGAUAAGGAAAACAUAGCAUUUCCUUAUUUGUGCAAAAGCUGUGGGCUGAGUCGUCCAGAACUAAAUGAACUUUUCUAGGUCCGUAGAUGAGGGGCAGUGGGGCAAUGAGAAGGGAUGAUAGACCACUAGCCCAGCAGUAAUGCUAUCAGCAAGUAAUUAAAAUCAGCCACUUUGGGGAAUGGAAUUCAAAAUUGCAUACAGCUGGGCGUGAAGCGGAGAGCAGGUGGGGAGCACUGUGCUCACGCACACUGGAGAACACUGGACUGGUGCCCUGAGGUCAGGGGAAGCAACCACCCUAUUGUCUUACCGGGUGAGUGUGUUUUGCAGGGGAGCAUGGGCUGGCAGUUUGAAGUGAGUUAUGUGCACACUAACGCUGAGCAGGCAGACUCACUGGUGAUGGUGGGCAGCUGUAUGGGCUGAGCUGGAGGCAUUAGCAGGAACUCCUGGUUUGAGGAGCACAUGUGCAUGAGCUUCAGCUGCCAGUGACGGCCAGCAGCAAGACUGCUCCAGUAGCAGUGAGGCCUGCAGUUCCCAGUGCCCUUCUGAAGGCAGGGCUCCUGAGAGGGCUGACCUGGGUGUGUGGGCAAGAAGUGCUCAAGGAGUGGGGCCACAGUGGUAGGACAGGUGCUAGUGUGUGCAACCUGAGGAAUGCCAAGUGGGGACAGUCUGAGUAGCAAGAUAGCCACUGAAUAAGGCAGGUAUUCAGUCUACAGUGAUGGACAUAGGCAGCCAGGUACAUGUGAGGUGGGGGUCUUCCUAAUAGAAUCAGCAUGGGAGACAGGACUGGUGCAAACAGCAAAGUCCCAGUAGGCACAUCAGUGGGAACUGAAGUUACUGUGAAGCCCUGUCACUGUCUCCCCAUGGGAUCUAAUCAGUGCUGCAGAAGCCUGGUGGGUGCCUGCCUCCAGAGGCCAUACCAUACCUUCUGCAUGAUUUUGCAAAGAUGCAUAGUUGCACUUUAGUCAUAAGAAGACACCAGGCAAGCCUGGGUUGAAGGAUGUGCUACAAAGUAGAGAGUGGCUGGGUCAGGACAGCUGGGGAGUCUCUAAAGUAGGUAACAAGGACCCUGAACGUGUGAGAGCCAGUGAAAUCCAGGAAUGUGCAGGACCCAUGAGCAGAGCUGCUAGUGCUCACCCGUUCAAAAUGUUUCAAAGUAAAACAAUGAAGUAAAAAUUGAGUGAUAACCUUCUUACUGAGCUGGUGACAUUAGCAUCGCUGGGGGCCUCUGGACAUGCAGACUGCUGGUGCACAUCUUUAUCAGAGCUGUGCAUAAGGCUUGUGGGAGAUGGCUCGCACCAAGGAGCACCAGCAGGCCUGGACACUGCUGGCUGCUUCCCGUGCAAGAAUAGGAUGGGAACACAUCAGGUCUGUGUCUAGAAACUGAAAGGACACCAGAGAAGCAAGGGACAGUCCACCCACGAGGGUCAGAGGCACAAGCAAGACAUUGCCAUCAUCUUUUUAGAGGUUUUGAUAUCUACAAGUUACCAGCUCAAAACUUAAGAAAAAAAUUAUUUUUCUUUUUGAUACUGGGGAUUGAACUCAGGGGCUCCCUAUCACUGAG
This 2958-nucleotide long non-coding RNA is filed under the name Marmota monax (woodchuck). The record is from RNAcentral. Lineage: Eukaryota; Metazoa; Chordata; Mammalia; Rodentia; Sciuridae.